Molecule: ribosomal RNA, 371 nt
Filed under: uncultured bacterium
Lineage: Bacteria
Description: bacterial SSU rRNA
Rfam family: Bacterial small subunit ribosomal RNA
Source: RNAcentral
CAAUCUUGACAUCCUCUGAAACCUCUAGAGAUAGAAUGUUGCCUUUUGGGGGUCAGAGUGACAGGUGGUGCAUGGUUGUCGUCAGCUCGUGUCGUGAGAUGUUGGGUUAAGUCCCGCAACGAGCGCAACCCUUAAUGUUAGUUGCCAUCAUUAAGUUGGGCACUCUAGGGAGACUGCCGGUGACAAACCGGAGGAAGGUGGGGAUGACGUCAAAUCAUCAUGCCCCUUAUGACUUGGGCUACACACGUGCUACAAUGGCCAAUACAAAGGGCAGCGAACCCGCGAGGUCAAGCUAAUCUCAAAAAUCAAUCUCAGUCCGGAUGCAGUCUGCAACUCGACUACAUGAAGUCUGAAUCGCUAGUAUUCGUGAU